This 72-nucleotide transfer RNA is filed under the name Toxocara canis (dog roundworm). It matches the Rfam family "tRNA". From Rfam's summary of the family: Transfer RNA (tRNA) molecules are approximately 80 nucleotides in length. The record is from Rfam by way of RNAcentral. Lineage: Eukaryota; Metazoa; Nematoda; Chromadorea; Rhabditida; Toxocaridae.
CAGGCAGUAGCUGAGAGGUAGAGCUCCCACUUCGUGCGCGGGAAAACCUGGGUUCAAUUCCCGGCUGCUUGU